CAGCCGCCACGGUAAUACGAAGGGGGCUAGCGUUGUUCGGAAUUACUGGGCGUAAAGCGCACGCAGGCGGCUCGAUAAAUUAGAAGUGAAAGCCUUGGGCUUAACCUGAGAAUUGCUUUUAAGACUGUCGAGCUAGAGUCCAGAAGAGGGUAGUGGAAUUCCGAGUGUAGAGGUGAAAUUCGUAGAUAUUCGGAAGAACACCAGUGGCGAAGGCGACUACCUGGUCUGGCAUUGACGCUCAUGUGCGAAAGCGUGGGGAGCAAACAGGAUUAGAUACCCCCGUAGUCCCUGUCUCUUAUAC
This 301-nucleotide ribosomal RNA is filed under the name uncultured bacterium. RNAcentral's name for it is "partial 16S ribosomal RNA". It matches the Rfam family "Bacterial small subunit ribosomal RNA", at positions 509 to 807 of the family's 1533-position model. The record is from RNAcentral.